Molecule: ribosomal RNA, 473 nt
Filed under: uncultured bacterium
Lineage: Bacteria
Description: bacterial SSU rRNA
Rfam family: Bacterial small subunit ribosomal RNA
Source: RNAcentral
UGGGGAAUAUUGCGCAAUGGGCGAAAGCCUGACGCAGCGACGCCGCGUGGGUGAUGAAGGCCUUCGGGUCGUAAAGCCCUGUCGGGAGGGAAGAAACAGUCUGGACCUAAUACGUCCGGGAAUUGACGGUACCUCCUAAGGAAGCACCGGCUAACUCCGUGCCAGCAGCCGCGGUAAUACGGAGGGUGCUAGCGUUGUUCGGAAUCACUGGGCGUAAAGGGCGUGUAGGCGGCUCGGUAAGUGGAAUGUGAAAUGCCCCGGCUCACCCGGGGACCUGCAUCCCAAACUGCCGGGCUUGAGUAUGGGAGAGGAUGAGGGAAUUCCUGGUGUAGCGGUGAAAUGCGUAGAUAUCAGGAGGAACACCGGUGGCGAAGGCGCUCAUCUGGCCCAAUACUGACGCUGAGGCGCGAAAGCUAGGGGAGCAAACGGGAUUAGAUACCCCCGUAGUCCCUGAGCGGGCUGGCAAGGCGCAU